GUUUGAUCAUGGCUCAGAUUGAACGCUGGCGGAAUGCUUUACACAUGCAAGUCGAACGGUAGAGGGGGCAACCCCUUGAGAGUGGCGAACGGGUGAGUAAUAUAUCGGAACGUGCCCAGUCGUGGGGGAUAACGUAGCGAAAGUUACGCUAAUACCGCAUACGAUCUAAGGAUGAAAGCGGGGGAUCGCAAGACCUCGCGCGACUGGAGCGGCCGAUAUCAGAUUAGGUAGUUGGUGAGGUAAAGGCUCACCAAGCCAACGAUCUGUAGCUGGUCUGAGAGGACGACCAGCCACACUGGAACUGAGACACGGUCCAGACUCCUACGGGAGGCAGCAGUGGGGGAUUUUGGACAAUGGACGCAAGUCUGAUCCAGCCAUUCCGCGUGCAGGAUGAAGGCCCUCGGGUUGUAAACUGCUUUUGUACAGAACGAAAAGGUCUCUCUUAAUACGGGGGGCUCAUGACGGUACUGUAAGAAUAAGCACCGGCUAACUACGUGCCAGCAGCCGCGGUAAUACGUAGGGUGCAAGCGUUAAUCGGAAUUACUGGGCGUAAAGCGUGCGCAGGCGGUUAUAUAAGACAGAUGUGAAAUCCCCGGGCUCAACCUGGGAACUGCAUUUGUGACUGUAUAGCUAGAGUACGGUAGAGGGGGAUGGAAUUCCGCGUGUAGCAGUGAAAUGCGUAGAUAUGCGGAGGAACACCGAUGGCGAAGGCAAUCCCCUGGACCUGUACUGACGCUCAUGCACGAAAGCGUGGGGAGCAAACAGGAUUAGAUACCCUGGUAGUCCACGCCCUAAACGAUGUCAACUGGUUGUUGGGUCUUAACUGACUCAGUAACGAAGCUAACGCGUGAAGUUGACCGCCUGGGGAGUACGGCCGCAAGG
RNAcentral lists this ribosomal RNA (882 nucleotides) under uncultured bacterium. RNAcentral describes it as "bacterial SSU rRNA". It matches the Rfam family "Bacterial small subunit ribosomal RNA", at positions 11 to 893 of the family's 1533-position model. The record is from RNAcentral.